RNAcentral lists this ribosomal RNA (253 nucleotides) under uncultured bacterium. RNAcentral describes it as "partial 16S ribosomal RNA". It matches the Rfam family "Bacterial small subunit ribosomal RNA", at positions 524 to 776 of the family's 1533-position model. The record is from RNAcentral.
UACGUAGGGGGCAAGCGUUGUCCGGAUUUAUUGGGCGUAAAGCGCGUGUAGGUGUCCAUGUAGGUCCGCUGUGAAAACUCGAGGCUCAACCUCGAGCUGUCGGUGGAAACCACAUGGCUAGAGUCCGGAAGAGGAGAGUGGAAUUCCUGGUGUAGCGGUGAAAUGCGCAGAUAUCAGGAAGAACACCAAUGGCGAAGGCAGCUCUCUGGGACGGUACUGACACUGAGACGCGAAAGCGUGGGGAGCGAACAGG